RNAcentral lists this ribosomal RNA (253 nucleotides) under uncultured bacterium. RNAcentral's name for it is "partial 16S ribosomal RNA". It matches the Rfam family "Bacterial small subunit ribosomal RNA", at positions 524 to 776 of the family's 1533-position model. The record is from RNAcentral.
UACGUAGGGUGCAAGCGUUGUUCGGAAUUAUUGGGCGUAAAGGGCGCGUAGGCGGUUUGACAAGUCUGAUGUGAAAUCUAUGGGCUCAACCCAUAGCCUGCAUUAGAAACUGUCGGGCUUGAGUAUGGGAGAGGUGAGUGGAAUUUCCGGUGUAGCGGUGAAAUGCGUAGAUAUCGGAAGGAACACCUGUGGCGAAAGCGGCUCACUGGACCAUAACUGACGCUGAGGCGCGAAAGCUAGGGGAGCAAACAGG